This 72-nucleotide transfer RNA is filed under the name Perkinsus marinus ATCC 50983. It matches the Rfam family "tRNA". Rfam says of the family: Transfer RNA (tRNA) molecules are approximately 80 nucleotides in length. Their secondary structure includes four short double-helical elements and three loops (D, anti-codon, and T loops). Lineage: Eukaryota; Perkinsozoa; Perkinsida; Perkinsidae. The record is from Rfam by way of RNAcentral.
GUACCGCUAGUCUAAUGGUUAGGAUAUCUGCCUUCCAAGCAGAUGGUCCGGGUUCGAUUUCCGGGCGGUGCA